RNAcentral lists this ribosomal RNA (447 nucleotides) under uncultured bacterium. Its description in RNAcentral is "bacterial SSU rRNA". It matches the Rfam family "Bacterial small subunit ribosomal RNA", at positions 328 to 792 of the family's 1533-position model. The record is from RNAcentral.
GCCCCAGACUCCUACGGGAGGCAGCAGUGGGGGAUAUUGCACAAUGGGGGAAACCCUGAUGCAGCGACGCCGCGUGGGUGAAGAAGCGCUUCGGCGCGUAAAGCCCUGUCAGCAGGGAAGAAAAUGACGGUACCUGAAGAAGAAGCCCCGGCUAACUACGUGCCAGCAGCCGCGGUAAUACGUAGGGGGCAAGCGUUAUCCGGAUUUACUGGGUGUAAAGGGGGCGCAGGCGGCGAUGCAAGCCAGGAGUGAAAGCCCGGGGCCCAACCCCGGGACUGCUCUUGGAACUGCGUGGCUGGAGUGCAGGAGGGGCAGGCGGAAUUCCUGGUGUAGCGGUGAAAUGCGUAGAUAUCAGGAGGAACACCGGUGGCGAAGGCGGCCUGCUGGACUGCAACUGACGUUGAGGCCCGAAAGCGUGGGGAGCAAACAGGAUUAGAUACCCGAGUA